This is a long non-coding RNA of Mesocricetus auratus (golden hamster), 311 nucleotides long. RefSeq lists it as uncharacterized. The record is from RefSeq and is a predicted model, not a curated record. The transcript is spliced from 2 exons. NCBI's taxonomy places the organism in Eukaryota, Metazoa, Chordata, Mammalia, Rodentia, Cricetidae.
UCCCCGAGCCCCAGACUGACCCCUCCUCAGGCUGAGAUGAAGGAGCCUCUGUCUCUUGGGGCCCCUGCCUGAUUAGACAUGGCUGCCACAUCAGCGCCUCACUUGCAGUCAGGCACUGAGAGAAGAAAGGCUCCAAGGCCUCCAGGCUGGAAGUAGCUGGCCGGAGGUCUCAUCGGGGAAUGGGUAUUGAGCCUCAACUCCCUCAUUAGGAAAACAGGACAAUGACAUCUGGAAUGUCUGGGAGGAGGACUUAGGGACCUAGUGCCCUGACAGCCAUAAGAGACCUUCCAUAAAGCCAUUUCCUUCCUAUA